ACAUUUCUUAUUCUUACUUUCUUAAUCUAUUUAUUUUUUAACCUAAAAAAGAAUAUUAACAAAAAUAUAUAUUCGAUUAACGCUACAUCUUUUCAGUAUAAAUAAUAACAAGAGGCAUCACAUUUGAUCAUAUAUUUUAAGUUGUAUUUUCCAAGCUGUCAGCCACAAUUAGAGUUGAUUACAAUUCUAAAAAUUUUGGAUCUGAAGAAAAAAUUUCAAUGAAAUCAGAAACAAGAAAAAUAGGCUAGGUGUCGCUCUGAUUUCG
Molecule: long non-coding RNA, 265 nt
Filed under: Capsella rubella
Lineage: Eukaryota; Viridiplantae; Streptophyta; Magnoliopsida; Brassicales; Brassicaceae
Description: long non-coding RNA (CRUB_LNC003835)
Source: RNAcentral